UGGUGGAGUGAUUUGUCUGGUUAAUUCCGUUAACGAACGAGACCCCUGUCUACUAAAUAGGUGGUGUAGUGAAUUUUCACUGCAUUCAUCUUCUUAGAGGGACGUGCGCUCUUCAAGGUGCAGGAAGAGAGGGGCAAUAACA
RNAcentral lists this ribosomal RNA (142 nucleotides) under uncultured eukaryote. Its description in RNAcentral is "partial 18S ribosomal RNA". It matches the Rfam family "Eukaryotic small subunit ribosomal RNA", at positions 1299 to 1458 of the family's 1831-position model. The record is from RNAcentral.